RNA transcript from Gymnodraco acuticeps, 5543 nucleotides. It is a transcript of the gene named calcium/calmodulin-dependent protein kinase kinase 1, alpha a, with no coding region annotated. The transcript is spliced from 17 exons. The record is from RefSeq and is a predicted model, not a curated record. Lineage: Eukaryota; Metazoa; Chordata; Actinopteri; Perciformes; Bathydraconidae.
UCAAAGAAGUGUGUGUGAGUGUGUCCUUCUGCUGUGUGCACAUUUCAGAGGUGGUGGUGCAAUAAUAGCCAGUUGCGGGCGGAGUGUGUGCAUGCCGCCGCUGGUUGUCUUCACUCCGGCUUCACUGUAGACAACACAGGCGGGUCUGUGUGUCCGUGCUUUCCGGAAGAUAGGGUGUGACACAUGGGACACAUCUUGGGUCAGCAGCUGAUCCUGCUUCUCGUUUGCACAGAAAGCAGCAUGGAAGCCUCUCUGCGGGUGUGUGUGUAUAAUCCGCUGUGAGAGGAGAGGAUCAAACAGGCGGGACAUCCCUGUCUCCGGAUCCCUUUCACUGGAACGCGCUCACACACGCCCGACCUUUCGUUUGGCUCCGGUGGGAGGGUGAGCAUUGUGACCGGAGGCCGGCCCAGGUCACGUUGAUGCUGGUGGGCGCUCCCCGGUACUGUCCCUGCCACCUGCUCCAGCGCUGCCCCCACCUCCCAGCCCACCCACCAUGGCUACGAGCAGUGACCCUGGCCGUGAGCGGCUGGACCCCGACUCUGACAAACAGACCAGCAGUCUCACCGACAUCAUGAGUGCCAUGACCACAAAAGACUCUGAUGGCUCUGCUACCAACGGCGUCAGGAAUGGCGUGGCUCAGCAGGAGGGGGCUCAUGCCAAGAGGACCCAUGCUUUGCGACCUUACUUGACCGGAAGGAAGUUGUCGCUGCAGGAGAGAGGCACCUAUAUGUCGUCAGGAGGAGGGUACACGCACAUUUCCCCUCGUGUGGCUCGCAGGCCCUGCGUGGAGUCCAAACGUGUGUCCAUAUCAGACGCCCAGGACUGUAUCCAGUUGAACCAGUAUAAGCUGAAGAGUGAGAUUGGAAAGGGCUCCUACGGUGUGGUUAAACUUGCCUACAAUGAGGAUGAUGACAAACAUUAUGCCAUGAAGCUGGUUUCCAAGAAGAAGUUAAUUAAGCAGUGUGGUUUUCCACGUCGCCCACCCCCAAGAGGACCCAAGGUGGCUCAAGGAGAGCAGCCCAAAAUCUUAGGACCCCUGGAGAGGGUCUACCAAGAGAUCGCCAUCCUCAAAAAACUGGACCAUGUCAACAUUGUGAAGCUGGUGGAGGUACUGGAUGAUCCGGCGGAGGACAACCUUCAUAUGGUGUUUGAGCUGAUGCCGAAAGGUCCAGUGAUGGAGGUUCCCUCAGAUACUCCUUUGUCAGAGGAGCAGGCGAGAUUAUACUUCAGAGAUGUCAUCCUGGGCAUGGAGUACCUGCACUACCAGAAGAUUGUCCACAGGGACAUCAAGCCCUCUAACUUGCUCCUGGGGGACGACGGCCACGUGAAGAUAGCGGAUUUUGGGGUCAGCAACCAGUUUGAAGGCAAUGAUGCCUUACUGUCCAGCACUGCUGGCACUCCUGCAUUUAUGGCCCCAGAGACCCUUUCAGACGCGCGAAAGAGCUUUAGUGGAAAAGCACUGGACGUGUGGGCCAUGGGAGUUACACUUUACUGUUUCGUUUUUGGAAAGUGCCCCUUUAUUGAUGAGUACAUAUUGGCUUUGCACAAUAAGAUAAGGACCAAGCUUGUGGAUUUCCAAGAAACACCAAAUAUCAGUGAAGAGCUGCGGACUCUGAUCCUGCGGAUGCUGGAUAAGAACCCGGACACCAGGAUUACCAUCCCUGAGAUCAAGCUGGACCAGUGGGUGACCCAGGGGGGCACUGACCCCUUGCCACUGGAGGAGGAGCACUGCUCCGUGGUGGAGGUGACGGAGGAGGACAUCCAGAACUCAGUCAAGUUUGUUCCCAGCCUCUCUGCAGUGAUUUUGGUGAGAGCCAUGCUGAGGAAGCGCUCCUUCAGUAACCCCUUCGAGUGUCCAAGCAGGAGAGAGGAGCGCUCUAUGUCUGCACCAGGCAGCCUGCUAAUGCCAAGGUUGCCCCUGUUCCGCUCCAGGCAGUCAGAGAGCUGCCUUCUCAGGUGAAGGUGCUUCCAGAGGACGUGGAGGGAGUUUUGAACAAUACUGCCCUCUGCUGGAGAAAAGGAGACGACAAAGCUUUGUACAUCUAAAGAUCACAGCAGCGUGAACAAAAAAUAUAGUCUGUACAUCAGCUCACAGUUUCUGAUCCAUACACAUUGUCACCAUGGAUUGUUGAUUAAACGUGGGCACUACAGUUGAAAAUCUUUAUCACCAUAAACCCUCCCCUUUCCGAAAUGCUUUCCUUAAAUAUGCAAAUGAUGCAGUAUUUCAUUUUUAUAAUUUGCACUCUUUCCACAAGAGUAAAUUGAACUCUGGAUGACGCCAGGUUGAAAAUUAAUGUUGUGUCGAUUCUUUUACAAAGGGAAUUUAAGAUAUAUCUUACCCAGCAAAACAUACAUUUCCCCCUAUAUAUAGAUAAUAUGUGAUAUAAAUCAGGCUUUCAAUGGUCCAUGAAAGAGCCUUUUUGUUAAAAUCUUCAGAAUAUUCAUGGUAAUGGCAAACGGGGAAGUUCGGAGAAAAUUGCCUAUAAAUAUAUAUUUGGGAACAUUUUAAGUUUAUAUAUGCAAAGAAAGAGAUUAUCUGAUACUAAAUUGGGAAUUAAGGGGAAAUAAAAAAUGCAAAAAACUAAAUUACUUGGAGAACUAUGUGUAUUUUGGAUUUCUCAAUUUAACUUCAUCACCUAUUUUACUUUCCUGAGCACUUUCAUUUUGAGACAUUAAUGUGAUCAUAAUGGACCAUAAACAACAACAUGGUCAGCCUCUGAGAGACUAAAAAGACACUUGACCUUAAAAACUCAUCUAAUGUUCAGCCCAUAAAACUUCAAUUGGUUCCAAAAUAAAGUGAAAGAGAAAAUAACAAAGCAGUUGAGUCCCAAUAUAUUUAUUUUAAAUUGGUAUAAAAUGAAAAAGAAGCAACUUAAGGUUGACCACGCCUUAGAACCUCUGAGGUGACCUUUGCCCUCUGAACUGUGACUCUCCCAUCUUUUCUCCCACUGUUGCAGGGACUCGUGGCCCUUCCGGCCCCCUUUAAAAAUGCACCCCUCCCUCAGAAAGGGCAGCACGGGAGAUGGACCCAGAGAAGGAGAGCUAGAGGACCUGCAUGAAGACGAGCCCUCCUCUUGAGUCUCUCAACAGUCUUAAACUCCAUCCCAACAUACAUCCCUCUGCUUGUUCACCGGCGUACUCUCCACUUUAAUCUGCUGAUUGACUCUAGUUCGCAUUCAGACUUGUUUGCUCGGGCUUGCUUUUGAUUUAGCUUAUUCCUUUUUCUUCCUGAUCUGCCCUUCUACAAUGUGGAGACUGGGCAUUUAGUUUGUUCUUCAAUGUCGCUUGUCUUAACUGCUCUCCCACUUCCUGUUGUGACUGGCAUCAGUGAACCGAUAGGGGGAACUCUGCAUCAUUACCAGCUGAUGUGGGGGAAAAAACUGUCAAAACACGUCUGCAUGGAUGAAGAGUUAAUGCGUCAUCGUCACACUGUCUAUAGCCAGCCUGACAAGGAGAAUAAUCCUCACAGCAUGUAAAUGGCAUUAGAUUGUCUCUUCAUUGAACUACAGGAUUGUUUUCUUUCUGAUAUUGUACAUAGAUGUCUUGAGGUAUCAUCAAUGUGUUGUCUCACAGCCCUUUUCUUGUUUUUAUGCCAUCGGUAGCUUUUAUUUUUGAGCUGGGUGAUGGAAUCCUUCCUGUGCUGCCUUCAAGGGCCCACCUUGUUGGAUUCCUCUGACAGGAAGUCAGCUGCCUACGGGUGAUCGCACAGAAAGGCCAGUGACUUGGCUAUGCUCCAACACAUUUAAAAGUUACUUUGGUCGCUGUGUUAUUUGAAACCUUUUCUGUUAGAAAUCAUUUCGCGCUUCCUUUUAAACUCCUUCGUGUCUGAUAAUUGUUCUCCUGCACCGUCUCUUUCCUUCCAUAUCCUGAUGUACUGUUUGAUCCAAUGUGAAGUCAUGGCGACAGAGGUCGGAGCACUUGGAAGUGUUGUUUGUUGUUUGAUGGUGAGUCAGAACAGACUGUAAUUUCCCUUUUUAAAAAUCCCAUUAUUGGAUUCAGAGCUUGUAUGAAGGCAUGCAUAAUCGUAUUGUCCAAGUUAAACAUCAAUGUGCGCUCUUACAGAAGAAAUUGAAUUAUUCAGGCUAAGGGACUGUGCACAAAUUAUUACUGAAGGAGAGGUCAGAAGUGGCAGGGUUUUUAUGUUUCCUUUUAGCUGAGGAAUGGUUAGUCUGAAUGUUUUGGAGAAAAGGAGAAGGGUCUUUUUAUUUUUCUAAUGUCCCACAUUAAUAAUUCAGUAUUCCCUUGCACAUGGCUCUCAAAGUCACAGCAGAUCAUAAAACUGUGCUGAGCUGUGAAAAAUGUUAUCAACAAAAAGUCAUAAUCUCCUUUACUUUCUUAUGCAUAGUAACACAAAUGUGUUAAACAAUUGUAGAUGUCAUAAAAUGUCAGCCUUUUUGUUGCCACACUUUUUGAAAUUAUUAAUUCCAUUUAUUGUGGAAAGAAUUUUUCCUUAAACACAGAGAUAUUAUUUAAACAUAUUUUAUAACAUAAUUGAUUACAUUUAAAUUAGGUUACAUCAAAUAGAAUUAUUGAGAAGUCAGAGCUAGGGUCCAAAUUAAAUGGUAAUUAAUGCUGGAAAGGGUUGUGCGAAUAAAAGAUCUCAGCGAUUUUUGCAAGGUCCCUAACUAGAUUUCCUGGAUAACAUGUUGAAGAUCAAACUAGCCAUAUGUGUGUCGAGCUGCGUUGGCAAUUGGUGGCAUAUGAAAUAUCAUUUAUUUGUGUGAUUGAAGUCCUUUGUUUGCCAUUAAGCAUGAUUGCCAAACUUCAAAAUAAGUCAAAUCUGUGGUCUGCAGUGUCUACGCUGUCUCAAAUCAACGAUAGAUCUCUUCCUCCUCCGUAGCUCUCCUUCAGAUAAUGUUUGUACAACUCCAUUCUGCUCUGGCCUGGGUCUGUGAAAGAGAGCGUGCUUGUCUGGCAGAGUGCUCUGAGCACUUGAACCGCAGUGAAAAGAGCAUUUCAAUGUCACGAUUAGACCCAGACUGCCAACAACAACACACUGCAUCCACUUCAGUGCCGUCCCCAGUGUGGCUGAUUAUAAACGGGGGUGGGUCGGGGGAAGUGCAGCGUUUUGCAUUUCCUUUAUUAAACUUGCCCUCAGUAUCCGCAGUAAAGGAUGCAUACUAAAGCACAGAGAGCAGAGAGGGGUUGGUAGAAAGUGUUGCACACAUUGAGCCUCUGUGUUUAGAGAUGUAUGCUCACACUGUCAGGAAAGUAAUGCACAAAGACCAUGGGUUCUUGGGAAUGUAAAGCUUUAUAUAUUUUUAUUUAAUUGUUCCGUAAAAAAAGUAUACGUGUUGAAUGUUGUAAAUGCUGAUUGACAUGAGGGCUUUUUUUAUUUCAUGUUUCCAGAGGACAGGUUAAGGAGGCCCUGAGAUCCUUUUGCAGUUAACCUUCAAUGAAGGACUGUUUGAACCAAAAAUAUUACAUUUGUAUGUCUUAAGGUGACGGUUUAUAACUUACAACAUUCUUUUGAGGUUUUCUUUAAGUCUCUUGGUGUCGCCAGCUUUACAUUUGUGUGUUUGUACUGACAGACUGCAUUGUUG